RNAcentral lists this long non-coding RNA (478 nucleotides) under Carica papaya (papaya). RNAcentral's name for it is "long non-coding RNA (CPAP_LNC004459)". The record is from RNAcentral. Lineage: Eukaryota; Viridiplantae; Streptophyta; Magnoliopsida; Brassicales; Caricaceae.
GUCUGAUAGCAUUUUAUAAAGCUCUAACAACAUGGGGAAGAUGGGUCAACCGCAACGUUGACCCAUUGAAAACCAAGGUGUUUUUCCAAGGAGUUUCACCUACCCAUUACGAGUAAGUAUAUGCGUAUAUGCACUGUCUGUGUAGAUGAUGUAUGUAUAAGUGUUGGGAACUUGGGGGAGAUGGGUCAACGUUAAGGUUGACCCAUUGAAAACCAAGGUGUUUUUCCAAGGAGUUUCACCUACCCAUUACGAGUAAGUAUAUGCGUAUAUGCACUAUAUGUAUAGAUGAUGUAUGUACAAGUGUUGGGAACUUGGGGGAGAUGGGUCAACGUUAAGGUUGACCCAUUGAAAACCAAGGUGUUUUUCCAACGAGUUUCACCUACACAUUACGAGUUAAGUAUAUUUAUAACAACCACUAUAUGUAUUUACAUGUGUUGGGAAAGUUUCUAAAGGUGAAAUCUUUGUGGGAACAGGGGCA